CAGUAGCCGCGGGAAUACGGAGGGAGCUAGCGUUGUUCGGAAUCACUGGGCGUAAAGCGCACGUAGGCGGCUAUUCAAGUCAGGGGUGAAAGCCCGGGGCUCAACCCCGGAACUGCCUUUGAAACUAGAUAGCUUGAAUCUUGGAGAGGCGAGUGGAAUUCCGAGUGUAGAGGUGAAAUUCGUAGAUAUUCGGAAGAACACCAGUGGCGAAGGCGACUCGCUGGACAAGUAUUGACGCUGAGGUGCGAAAGCGUGGGGAGCAAACAGGAUUAGAUACCCGGGUAGUCCCUGUCUCUUAUAC
This 301-nucleotide ribosomal RNA is filed under the name uncultured bacterium. Its description in RNAcentral is "partial 16S ribosomal RNA". It matches the Rfam family "Bacterial small subunit ribosomal RNA", at positions 509 to 807 of the family's 1533-position model. The record is from RNAcentral.